This 452-nucleotide ribosomal RNA is filed under the name Hepatozoon sp. RNAcentral describes it as "bacterial SSU rRNA". It matches the Rfam family "Eukaryotic small subunit ribosomal RNA", at positions 338 to 780 of the family's 1831-position model. Lineage: Eukaryota; Apicomplexa; Hepatozoidae. The record is from RNAcentral.
GGCAUACCGUGGCAUUGACGGUUAACGGGGGAUUAGGGUUCGAUUCCGGAGAGGGAGCCUGAGAAACGGCUACCACAUCUAAGGAAGGCAGCAGGCGCGCAAAUUACCCAAUUCUAACAGCAUAAGAGAGGUAGUGACAAGAAAUAACAAUACAAGGCAGUUAAAAUGCUUUGUAAUUGGAAUGAUAGAAAUUUAAACACUUUUUAAAGUAUCAAUUGGAGGGCAAGUCUGGUGCCAGCAGCCGCGGUAAUUCCAGCUCCAAUAGCGUAUAUUAAAAUUGUUGCAGUUAAAAAGCUCGUAGUUGAAUUUCUGCUAAAAAAAACCGGUCUGCUUUUAAUAAAAGUGGUAUCUUGGUGUGUUUUUAGCAAUAAUGUCUUUUGGAAUGUUUUAUUACUUUAUUGUAAUAAAUCAUAUUCAGGGUUUUUACUUUGAGAAAAUUAGAGUGUUUCUAG